RNAcentral lists this ribosomal RNA (450 nucleotides) under Gasullia cobosi. RNAcentral describes it as "Hatumia cobosi partial 16S ribosomal RNA". It matches the Rfam family "Bacterial large subunit ribosomal RNA", at positions 1808 to 2606 of the family's 2925-position model. The record is from RNAcentral. Lineage: Eukaryota; Metazoa; Mollusca; Gastropoda; Stylommatophora; Trissexodontidae.
CAAAAACAUAGCUAAAUGAAUUUUGUAUUUAGUUACUUCUGCUCAAUGGUAAAACUAAAUAGCCGCAGUACCCUGACUGUGCAAAGGUAGCAUAAUCAUUUGGCUUAUAAUUGAAGUCUGGCAUGAAAGAAUAUACGGGUAAUCGCUGUCUUUUGAAGUUUUUAUGAAAUUAUUUAGUAGGUGAAAAUACCUAUCUCUAAAUAAAAGACGAGAAGACCCUAGAAAUUUUAUAUAAGUUGAUAUAGAUAUUAAUAUUAUUUUGUUGGGGCGACAGAAUAACAGUUAACUUAUUUUAAUUGAUUGGAACUAUUAUAUAGAGAUAAAAUAAAUUACUCUAGGGAUAACAGCAUAAUUUGUAAGAGUUUGUGACCUCGAUGUUGGACUAGGGUUUGCAUUGUUUAGAAGAUAUUGCAUCAGGCUCUGUUCGAGCUUUUAAUCCCUACGUGAUCU